CCUACGGGAGGCAGCAGUGAGGAAUAUUGGUCAAUGGGCGCGAGCCUGAACCAGCCAAGUCGCGUGAGGGAUGACGGCCCUACGGGUUGUAAACCUCUUUUGCCGGGGAGCAACGGGCGCCACGUGUGGCGCCACUGAGAGGACCCGGAGAAAAAGCAUCGGCUAACUCCGUGCCAGCAGCCGCGGUAAGACGGAGGAUGCGAGCGUAAGCCGGAUUGAUUGGGUUUCAAGGGUGCGUAGGCGGAUCGUUAAGUCAGUGGUCAAAUUGCGGGGCCCAACCCCUUCCCGCCAUUGAAACUGGCGCUCUUGAGUGGCAGAGAAGUAUGCGGAAUGCGUGGUGUAGCGGUGAAAUGCAUAGAUAUCACGCAGAACCCCGAUUGCGAAGGCAGCAUGCCGGCUUCCGACUGACGCUGAAGCACGAACGCGUGGGGAUCGAACAGGAUUAGAUACCCCGGUAGUC
RNAcentral lists this ribosomal RNA (460 nucleotides) under uncultured bacterium. Its description in RNAcentral is "partial 16S ribosomal RNA". It matches the Rfam family "Bacterial small subunit ribosomal RNA", at positions 338 to 795 of the family's 1533-position model. The record is from RNAcentral.